CUGUGUAUUGAUGAGUGUGCUAGUACUUACAGAGGCACCGAGAAGGCUUUUAACCCUGAGAUACGUUAAGAUGAAGACUUUCAGCAUGAAGAUUGUUGUUCUACUUGGAUUUGUGAUGCUUCUCUCUGUUGCUUUGGCUGAGCGUGAUGAGCAUGGCCAUCAGCAUAUCAUUGAGAAGCGCUCGUCAAGUGAAGAG
This is a long non-coding RNA of Salvelinus fontinalis (brook trout), 196 nucleotides long. RefSeq lists it as uncharacterized. The transcript is spliced from 3 exons. Lineage: Eukaryota; Metazoa; Chordata; Actinopteri; Salmoniformes; Salmonidae. The record is from RefSeq and is a predicted model, not a curated record.